AACGAACGCUGGCGGCAUGCCUAACACAUGCAAGUCGAACGAGACCUUCGGGUCUAGUGGCGCACGGGUGCGUAACGCGUGGGAACCUGCCCUUAGGUUCGGAAUAACUCCCCGAAAGGGGUGCUAAUACCGGAUAAUGUCUUCGGACCAAAGAUUUGUCGCGUUUGGUUGGGCCCGCGUUGGAUAAGCUAGUUGGUAGGGUAAAAGCCUAUCAAGGCGACGAUCCAUAGCUGGUCUGAGAGAAUGAUCAGCCACACUGAGACUGAGACACGGCCCAGAAUCCUACGGGAGGCAGGAAUGGGGGAUAUUGGAAAAUGGGCGGAAGGCUGAUCCAGCAAUGCCGGGUGAGUUAUGAAGGCCGUAAGGUUGUAAAGCGCUUUUACCCGGGAUGAUAAUGACAGUACCGAGAGAAUAAGCUCCGGCUAACUCCGUG
RNAcentral lists this ribosomal RNA (433 nucleotides) under uncultured bacterium. RNAcentral's name for it is "partial 16S ribosomal RNA". It matches the Rfam family "Bacterial small subunit ribosomal RNA", at positions 29 to 507 of the family's 1533-position model. The record is from RNAcentral.